This 331-nucleotide ribosomal RNA is filed under the name uncultured eukaryote. RNAcentral's name for it is "partial 18S ribosomal RNA". It matches the Rfam family "Eukaryotic small subunit ribosomal RNA", at positions 1470 to 1796 of the family's 1831-position model. The record is from RNAcentral.
CCCUUAGAUGUUCUGGGCCGCACGCGCGCUACACUGUUCGACGCAGCGAGUCUUAACCUUGACCGAAAGGUUUGGGUAAUCUUCAGCAAAGUCGAACGUGAUGGGGAUCGAUCAUUGCAAUUAUUGAUCGUGAACGAGGAAUUCCUAGUAAGUGCAAGUCAUCAGCUUGCGCUGAUUACGUCCCUGCCCUUUGUACACACCGCCCGUCGCUACAACCGAUUGAAUGGUUUAGUGAGAUCUCUGGAUUGACGCUGGCUAGGGGGCGACCCUUGGCCAGACUGUUGAGAAACUGCUCAAACUUGAUCAUUUAGAGGAAGUAAAAGUCGUAACA